AGACCCGAAACCCGGUGAUCUAGCCAUGGGCAGGUUGAAGGUUGGGUAACACUAACUGGAGGACCGAACCGACUAAUGUUGAAAAAUUAGCGGAUGACCUGUGGCUGGGGGUGAAAGGCCAAUCAAACCGGGAGAUAGCUGGUUCUCCCCGAAAGCUAUUUAGGUAGCGCCUCGUGAAUUCAUCUCCGGGGGUAGAGCACUGUUUCGGCUAGGGGGCCAUCCCG
RNAcentral lists this ribosomal RNA (224 nucleotides) under Salmonella enterica subsp. enterica serovar Muenchen. RNAcentral describes it as "partial 23S ribosomal RNA". It matches the Rfam family "Bacterial large subunit ribosomal RNA", at positions 711 to 934 of the family's 2925-position model. The record is from RNAcentral. Lineage: Bacteria; Pseudomonadati; Pseudomonadota; Gammaproteobacteria; Enterobacterales; Enterobacteriaceae. RNAcentral also lists the same sequence under 4 other names.